AUUGAACGCUGGCGGUAGGCCUAACACAUGCAAGUCGAACGGCAGCACAGGAGAGCUUGCUCUCUGGGUGGCGAGUGGCGGACGGGUGAGGAAUACAUCGGAAUCUACUUUUUCGUGGGGGAUAACGUAGGGAAACUUACGCUAAUACCGCAUACGACCUACGGGUGAAAGCAGGGGAUCUUCGGACCUUGCGCGAUUGAAUGAGCCGAUGUCGGAUUAGCUAGUUGGCGGGGUAAAGGCCCACCAAGGCGACGAUCCGUAGCUGGUCUGAGAGGAUGAUCAGCCACACUGGAACUGGAACACGGUCCAGACUCCUACGGGAGGCAGCAGUGGGGAAUAUUGGACAAUGGGCGCAAGCCUGAUCCAGCCAUACCGCGUGGGUGAAGAAGGCCUUCGGGUUGUAAAGCCCUUUUGUUGGGAAAGAAAUCCAGCUGGUUAAUACCCGGUUGGGAUGACGGUACCCAAAGAAUAAGCACCGGCUAACUUCGUGCCAGCCGCCGCGGUAA
RNAcentral lists this ribosomal RNA (506 nucleotides) under uncultured bacterium. Its description in RNAcentral is "partial 16S ribosomal RNA". It matches the Rfam family "Bacterial small subunit ribosomal RNA", at positions 30 to 523 of the family's 1533-position model. The record is from RNAcentral.